Molecule: long non-coding RNA, 2965 nt
Organism: Hyla sarda
Lineage: Eukaryota; Metazoa; Chordata; Amphibia; Anura; Hylidae
Exons: 6
Source: RefSeq, a predicted model, not a curated record
UUGAGCAUUUCUUAAAAUCAGUAAAGAUAAAGGUGAUGAUUUGUCCAAAAUUAAAGGCACUAAUGCUGAUGGAAGAACGAAGAUAUUGGGGGAAAAAAAUCUAUCAUGGCCGGACUUCUUUGAGCAAGAAUUUCAUUCAAUGAUGCAAAAAUGCAUUUCCUCUUUCACUGUUGCAAUUAGUUGGUGAGGAGUGCCAUCUAGUGCUCAAUUUUCAGGCUGCAUGUCAGUAUCCAUGGCAGCACAAUGAGAGAGCCUGGAGGUGGUAGCAUCAGCAUGAGGAGACUAUAUGGCAGCACAAUAACAGAGCCUGGAGGUGGCAGCAUCAGCAUGAGGAGACCAUAUAGCAGCACAAUGAGAGAGUGUGGAGGUGGCAGAAUCAGCAUGAGGCGACCAUAUGGCGGCACAAUAACAGAGCCUGGAGGUGGCAGCAUCAGCAUGAGGAGACCAUAUAGCAGCACAAUGAGAGAGCCUGGAGGUGGCAGAAUCAGCAUCAGGAGACCAUAAAGCAUCAUAAUGAGAGAGCCUGGAGGUGGCAGAAUCAGCAUCAGGAGACCAUAUAGCAUCACAAUGAGAGAGCCUGGAGGUGGCAGCAUCAGCAUGAGGAGACCAUAUGGCGGCACAAUGACAGAGCCUGGAGGUGGCAGCAGCAGCAUGAGGGCAAUGCCAACUGAGGGUUGAGUCUGAGGAACCCACCGACUGUUUACUGGGGGUGUCAGAUGUCACAUGGGAUUAAGUGGAUGACCGAGUGAACCAAUCAAUCACGGCUGCUGGGUUGCUGGUUGAGACACGACUGCUAGCUGACAAUGGAAGCUCAGACCUCUCACUGCGACUCCUGCUGCCACACGCCCCUACUCUGCUGUGACCUGUGCCUGAUGAAUUUAGGCCUCUGCCACUCUUCUGUGCACAUCGUGGCACUUUUCUGACUUACAUUCUUAGUGCGUAUAUGGGGGGAGUACAAUACGCUUCACUAUGCUUAAAACAGUAUAGAACAGCAGCAGGUGUAUACUUUUGGCUGGCCUUUUACAGUAAAAAGGCCCUUAAGACUUUAUCAGGAACAAAAUGGUACAACACUUAGAUGUACGUAUGUGGUAUGCACUUAUGAUUAGAAUGUGCUCCAUUACGCUUAACAGUAUUUUUCUAGAACAGCAGCCGGUGAGUACUUUUGCCUGGACUUUCACAGUAUCUAGGCCCUUGAGAGUUUAACAGGUACAAAAUAGUACACUACUUAGAUGUAGUUAUGUGGUAUGCACCUAUGAGGGCAGAAAAAUUAUCUACAGUACGCUUAAAAAAUAUAUUUGAGUACAACACCAUCCGGUGAGUACUUUUGCCUGGACUUUCACAGUAUCUAGGCCCUUGACAGAUUAACAGGUACAAAAUAGUACACCACUUAGAUAUAGGUAUGUGGUGUGCACUUAUGAGGGCCGAAAAUGCGCUACAGUAUGCUUAAAAAAGUAUUUGAGUUAAACACCAGCUGGUGAUUACUUUUGCCUGGACUUUCACAGUAUCUAUGCCCUUGAGAGUUUAACAGGUACAAAAUAGUACACUACUUAGAUGUAGGCAUGUGGUAUGCACUUAUGAGGGCAGAAAGAUGUACUACAUUAUGCUUAAAAAGUAUAUGUGCUCAACACCAGCAGUACACAACAGUGCUGCAACACACAGGCACUGUAUACUAAACCCAAAAUUGCACUUUCUCUCAAAGACUAUUAGGAAUGGACUGGGUAUGUAUUAUACUGUCUACAGGCUAGUAUAACCAGCAGACCAUUUGUUGUGGGAAAAAAGACACAGAGUUGCGCUAAAAACUUAUUCCUCCCUCCUCUGCUAACGUUUCUCCAGCUGAGCCAGCUUGUUCAAAUGUAUGAGGCAACACACAGCUCUCUGCCCCUCUCUGUAAUGCAAUGCUGUAAACAGUGACGGGGAGGUUAAUCGCUGCUGUAAAAAUUAUUUUCUGUGAAAAACACACUGCUCUCUGUCCAACAGAAUACUGACGUGACUAGGAGAUGAAACGCUGCUGGAAAAAGCUUUUCCGUGUAACAUACAGCCCUGUCUAUCCUAUCUCUCUGCAGUGAAAGGAGGAAGUAACUAGCCGGAAUAUGGCUGUCGAUUAUAUAGGGCUGUGACAUCACAGGGGUGACUGGCUGCUGAUAGGCUGCUUCCUGCAUGUGAUUAAGGGUCAUCCCACCUACCCUUGUUCCCUCCUUUCCAGGAUUUCUUGCCCCAUGUCCUUACAUGUGGAUCUGCCAUUUUUGAUGCCUUGGAGCCUGGACCCCACUAAAUGGAGUUUAAUGAAGUGAUUCGCACAUUCGUUGCAAAUCGAAUUUCUCCUGAAAUUCGUAACAAAUUUGGAUUUGUCAGAUUGGAUUUGCUCAUCUCUAAAUUAAAGAAUCAGGAGAACAUAUGGUGGCUGAAAGAGACAUCCUGGAGCUGGCAUCAGCAUGAGGAGAACAUACGGUAGCAGAAUGAGACUGCCUGGAGGUGGCAUCAGCAUGAGGAGAACAUAUGGAGGCAGAAUGAGACAGCCUGGAGCUGGCAUCAGCAUAAGGAGAACAUAUGGUGGCAGAAUGAGACAGCCGGGAGCUGGCAUCAGCAUGAGGAGAACAUAUGGUGGCAGAAUGAGACAUCCUGGAGCUGGCAUCAACAUGAGGAAAACAUAUGGUGGCAGAAGGAGGCAUCAGCAGCAUCAGGAGUCCUGAAAUUUACCCGGUGACAGAGUAGGGCGGUGCGUCUUAUGGUCAGGUGCGUCUUAUGGAGCGAAAAAUACGCUCUUCAUUCGAAGUCAAAAGAAGAUUGCACAUUGUGGUUGCUCUUUACCAAGAUUUCUUUGAAAUCAUGUCCAUUCACAGUCAAAGAGAAAUCACUCAUAAAGGCUGGAUUUACUUUAAAAGGUGAAGGCUCAGAAAUUAGGCAGUGGACUUUUCCAUUUGAUCCAGAAUCUUUAUCAUGGAUGCUGAUGAUGGCAACUGUUGUC